UUAGUCGAGUAUGCCUGAACUUGAUUUUAAAGUGGCUAAACUUGCUAAAGAAUUAUAAAUUUCGGCUAGACGUUAAAUAGGGUACCAAAAUUGGCUAUAUCUGCACUUCCCCGAAAAAUAUAGGCUAUAGUAGCCCGUUGACAACUAGCUGUUAACUCCUCUAUACGCCAGAGGGAGAUAUACAGAGAGAGAAACUGAGAGAUGAAGGCGAUCCUAGAAGGAGAGAAGGUAACAUUGGUACCUUACAUGAGAGAGCAUGUCCCAAAGUACCAUGAAUGGAUGCAAGACCCUUUUCUCCUCCAAGCUACUGGUUCCGAACCCCUCUCCCUUGACCAAGAAUAUGAAAUGCAACUUUCCUGGACCCAAGACCCCUUAAAGCAGACUUUCAUUGUGUUGGACAAGGAACUAAUCGUUGGAAAAUUCAUUCCUGGAGAACCCCAUGUUGAAGGACCGUAGUACGAGACAGACGAUUGGCACAAGGUGUGAAUCACAAGGCUUUUACUACCUUAAUUCACUCAAUCCCUCUACACCGUGUCUAUUUACAGAUUCUUCGGACCUAAUUCACAGACGUUUAGGACAUCCAAGUUUAUCCAAGCUUUAGAAGAUGGUGUCUAGUUUGUCUACAUUAGAUUGUGAGUCGUGUCAGCUUGGGAACAUACCCUAGCCAUCUUUUCGUGUAGUAUUAAGAGUCGUGCAGUGCCUCUUUAGUUCAUUCUGAUAUAUGGGGUCCUAGUAGAAUCAGUUCAACCUUAGGGUUUCGUUAUUUUGUUAGUUUCAUUGAUGAUUAUUCCAGAUGUACUCUGCUUUUCUUAAUGAAAGAUCGUGUUGAGUUGUUUUCUAUGUUCCAGAGUUUUUGUGCUGAAAUAAAAAAUCAAUUUGGUGUUUCUAUUCACACUUUUCGCAGUGAUAAUGCCUUAGGAUAUUUGUCCUCUCAAUUUCAGUUGUUUAUGACUUCUCAAGUAAUUAUUCAUCAUAUAUCUUGUCCUUAUACCCCUCGGCAAAAAUGGGGUUUAAGAGAGAGAAUACGCAUCUCAUUGAGACUGCUCGCACACUUUUUAUUCAGUCCCAUGUUCCGUUGCGUCUUUGGGGCGAUGCAGUUUUCAUAACUUGUUACUUGCUUAAUCAAAUGCCUUCAUCUCCUAUCCAGAAUCAAGUCCCGCUUUUAGUAUUGUUUCCACAGUCACCCUUAUACUCUCUUUCCCCUUGUGUUUUUGGGAUGACAUGUUUCAUUCAGAACUUCGCCCCUAGGAAAGAUAAGUUAGCUCCUCGUGGUUUCAAGUGUGUCUUCCUUGGUUAUUCUUAUGUUCAGAAGAGAUCGUUGCUAUUUACCCGAUCUUCGUAGGUACCUUAUGUAUGUCACAGUUUUUGAGUCUCGUCCUUACUUUACCUCUUCUGAUCAUAGUGAUAUGUAUGAGGCCUUACCUAUACCGACUUUUGAGGAGUCUCUUUUUGCUUCUCCUAUAUCCCUAGCCACGAAAGUGUUACUCAUACCGACUUUUUAGGAGUCCACUGUUGCUCCUCCGACAUCCCCAGCUGUAGGUACACCACUCUUGACUUAUCGUCGUCGUCUGCGUCCAGCAUUAGGCCACACUGAUUCACAUCUUGUACCUGACCCCUGCUCCUACUGCAGACUUGUCCCCUCCUAGUCCACCGAUUGCACUUCAGAAAGUCUAUAGGUGAAGCAUUGUCUCAUCCAGAAUGACGACAUGCUAUGAUUGAUGAGAUGUCUGCUUUACAUACGGGUGGUACUAGGGAGCUUGUUGCUCUUCCUUAAGGUAAAUCUGCUGUUGGUUAUCGUUGGAUUUAUGAUAGCCAGGUUGAUCGACUUAAGGCCAGUCUUGUUGCCGAUGGGUAUACUCAGAUAUUUGGGCUCGAUUAUAGUGAUACUUUUUCUCCCAUGGCUAAAGUAGUAUCAGUCAGAUUUUUUCUAUCCAUGCUAUUGUUCGCCUUUGGCCUCUCUAUCAGUUGGACAUUAAUAAUGGUUUCUUCACAGUGACCUUGAGGAUGAAGUUUAUAUCGAGCAACCACCUUGUUUUGUUGCUCAGGAGGAGUUUAGUGGCCUUGUAUAUCGGUUGCGCCAAUCACCUAGGGUCUAAAGCAGUCUCCUCGAGCCUGAUUUGGUAAGUUCAACGCAGUUAUUCAGGAGUUUGACAUGACUCGUAAUGAAGCUGAUCACUCUGUAUUUUAUCGGCAUUCUGUUUCAAUUCUCUGUAUUUAUCUGAUGGUUUAUGUUGACGAUAUUGUUAUUAUCAGCAAUGAUCACGAUGAUAUUACUAAGUUGAAGUACCAUCUCUUUCAGCACUUUCAGACUAAGGAUCUGGGCAGAUUAAAGUAUUUUCUGGGUAUUGAUGGCACUUAGUCUAGCUCAGGUAUUGUGAUCUCACAACGGAAGUAUGUCUUAGACAUUCUUGAGGAGCCAUGAAUGACAUGCUUUAGACCUGUUGGCACUUCUAUGGAUUCGAAUUCUAAACUUCUGCCUGGCAGGGGGAGUCGCUUAGCAAUCCUACAAGAUAUAGGUGGCUGGUUGUUAAAUUAAAUUAGCUCACAGUAACUAGACCUGACAUUCCUUUCGUGUGAGUGUUGUGAGUCAAUUUAUAGAUUCUCCAUGUGAUAGUUAUUGGGAUGCAGUUGUGCUCAUUCUUUGGUAUAUAAAAUUAGCUCUAAGCAAAGGAUUAUUGUUUGAGGAUCGGGGUCAUGAACAAAUCGUUGGAUACUCAAAUGCUGAUUGGGCAUGAUCACCUUCUGAUAUAUGAACAAAAUAUGGUUGCUCGAUUUAGUGCAGAAGCAGAACAUCGAGCAGUGGUUAUGGCAACACGUGAGUUAAUUUGGAUCAAACAGUUACUCAAGGAGUUGAAAUUUGGUGAGAUCAGCCAGAUGGAACUUGUGUGUGAUAAUCAAGUUGCCUUACAUAUUGCAUCAAAUCCGGUGUUCCAUAAGAAAACUAAACACAUUGAGAUUGACUAUCACUUCAUCGGAGAAAAGAUACUCUCUGAAGAUAUUGUUACAAAGUUUGUAAAGUCCAAUAAUCAACUUGCAUAUAUUUUCACCAAGUCCCUCGCUGG
Non-coding RNA from Nicotiana tabacum (common tobacco), 3062 nucleotides. NCBI's taxonomy places the organism in Eukaryota, Viridiplantae, Streptophyta, Magnoliopsida, Solanales, Solanaceae. The record is from RefSeq and is a predicted model, not a curated record.